CGGUUUCUAUCUUAUAUUUUACAUUCGGUCAUUAUUUUACAUUCACCAUUGUUGCAUCGCUAACGUGGCUAGAAGAGCUUAGUGUGAUAGCCAACAACUCACAUUUAAAAAAAAGAUUGUGUUGCAAUUCCCGAACAAUCAUCAACAUGCCCAAAAGAAAGAGUGCUACCAAGGGCGAUGAGCCUGCAAGACGUUCAGCACGUUUGUCAUCUAGACCUGCGCCAAAGCCUGCGGCCAAACCCAAAAAAGCGGCAGCACCCAAAAAGCCAGUCAAAGGAAAGAAGGCAGCUGAGAACGGUGAUGCCAAGGCUGAGGCUAAGGUUGAAGCCGCUGGAGACGCCAAAUGAAGAACUGUUUGAAGUUGUGAUCAUUCUGUGUACUUGGUGACUGUACAGUUUAAAAUAAGUAUUUUUUACCAAGUUUUUUUUAUAUUAAAAGAUAUCAUUUAUAGUUCAUUGUGGGCUUGCAUUUGACGUAAUGAAGCUGUUCCAAGAGGUUGCCACAUUCAUAUCCAUUUUUAUGCCUUGUUUAAAUUAAUACCGUCCAUAUCCAGUCAAAGUUUUUUUUAAAGCAAAAAAAAACUAGACCUGUUUUUUUUUUUUUUUUUUUUUUUUUUUUUUAAUACUGCUGAAUGUUAUUUUCCUACAUAAAUUCAAACAUUAAAGGCAGCUACAGUGUGUUUCUAAAAUGUUUUAAGAGGAAUGGGGUUUUUGCCACUCCUUUUAGUUUUUUAUUGUACAAGUAAUAUUAAUUAAUUACUUACCAACGGUUUUGAAUCAACAUCAGAUCUUCUCAUUCAGGAGACAAAAGACACCGUUUGAAAGUAAUCACUAACUUGUAUUAGGUCAACACACAAUCAACACGCAAAAUUAAUAAUGUGAACUUAAUCAUUUGUUCUAUUGUUUAUUUUAUUAAAUUGUUCUGUAAAAACAGUGGAAAGAGCUAUUGUGACGCCUAUGAAAUUUUAAAUGUUCUUGAAUAAAAUGAUAAAAAGGC
This is a long non-coding RNA of Salvelinus fontinalis (brook trout), 996 nucleotides long. RefSeq lists it as uncharacterized. Lineage: Eukaryota; Metazoa; Chordata; Actinopteri; Salmoniformes; Salmonidae. The record is from RefSeq and is a predicted model, not a curated record. The transcript is spliced from 6 exons.